This 273-nucleotide small RNA is filed under the name Vigna angularis var. angularis. Its description in RNAcentral is "Non-protein coding transcript". The record is from RNAcentral. Lineage: Eukaryota; Viridiplantae; Streptophyta; Magnoliopsida; Fabales; Fabaceae.
AAGUAGUGGUAGCAGCAGUGUAAGGACUUUGGUGGUUUUUCCGCGUAUUAGAAGAAUGAGAGUGGUGGCACUGCAUGAGCAUGGUUGCGCCAUGGCGGUGGAAGUCAUGGAGUCUCCGUCGAUUGCAUGUCACGUCGUUGGUUGAGCCACCGUUACUUUUGAAGCAACCAAAAGACACCAAGAACGACACUUUCCUUCCACCCAUCAUAACAAUUGCAAUUAAUUGUUAUUUUUUAUUAAUUGGUUUAAGAGAUAAUAAAGUAAUUUAUCAGC